GCAGACGUGGCCAAAUGGUUACGCUGUUCGCUUUGUAAGCGAAUAAUCAUGAGUUCGAUUCUCAUCUGCUCCU
Molecule: transfer RNA, 73 nt
Filed under: Culex quinquefasciatus (southern house mosquito)
Lineage: Eukaryota; Metazoa; Arthropoda; Insecta; Diptera; Culicidae
Rfam family: tRNA
About the family: Transfer RNA (tRNA) molecules are approximately 80 nucleotides in length. Their secondary structure includes four short double-helical elements and three loops (D, anti-codon, and T loops). Further hydrogen bonds mediate the characteristic L-shaped molecular structure. tRNAs have two regions of fundamental functional importance: the anti-codon, which is responsible for specific mRNA codon recognition, and the 3' end, to which the tRNAs corresponding amino acid is attached (by aminoacyl-tRNA synthetases). tRNAs cope with the degeneracy of the genetic code in two manners: having more than one tRNA (with a specific anti-codon) for a particular amino acid; and 'wobble' base-pairing, i.e. permitting non-standard base-pairing at the 3rd anti-codon position.
Source: Rfam by way of RNAcentral